AACGAACGCUGGCGGCAGGCUUAACACAUGCAAGUCGAACGAACUCUUCGGAGUUAGUGGCAGACGGGUGAGUAACGCGUGGGAACCUACCUUUAGGUACGGAACAACAGUUGGAAAACGACUGCUAAUACCGUAUGUGCCCCUAUGGGGGAAAGAUUUAUCGCCUAAGGAUGGGCCCGCGUUGGAUUAGCUAGUUGGUGGGGUAAAGGCCUACCAAGGCGACGAUCCAUAGCUGGUCUGAGAGGAUGAUCAGCCACACUGGGACUGAGACACGGCCCAGACUCCUACGGGAGGCAGCAGUGGGGAAUAUUGGACAAUGGGCGCAAGCCUGAUCCAGCCAUGCCGCGUGAGUGAUGAAGGCCCUAGGGUUGUAAAGCUCUUUCAGCGAGGAGGAUAAUGACGUUACUCGCAGAAGAAGCCCCGGCUAACUUCGUG
This 435-nucleotide ribosomal RNA is filed under the name uncultured bacterium. Its description in RNAcentral is "bacterial SSU rRNA". It matches the Rfam family "Bacterial small subunit ribosomal RNA", at positions 29 to 507 of the family's 1533-position model. The record is from RNAcentral.